UAGGUCCCAAGGGUUGGGCUGUUCGCCCAUUAAAGUGGUACGCGAGCUGGGUUCAGAACGUCGUGAGACAGUUCGGUCCCUAUCCGUCGCAGGCGUAGGAAAUUUGAGAAGACCUGUCCUUAGUACGAGAGGACCGGGAUGGACGUACCUCUGGUGUACCAGUUGUUCUGCCAAGGGCAUGGCUGGGUAGCUAUGUACGGAAUGGAUAAGCGCUGAAAGCAUCUAAGCGCGAAGCCAACUUCAAGAUAAGAUUUCCCACCGCAAGGGUAAGACCCCAGAAAGACUAUCUGGUUG
This 294-nucleotide ribosomal RNA is filed under the name Clostridioides difficile. Its description in RNAcentral is "partial 23S ribosomal RNA". It matches the Rfam family "Bacterial large subunit ribosomal RNA", at positions 2559 to 2855 of the family's 2925-position model. The record is from RNAcentral. Lineage: Bacteria; Bacillati; Bacillota; Clostridia; Peptostreptococcales; Peptostreptococcaceae.